AUUGAACGCUGGCGGCGUGCUUAACACAUGCAAGUCGAUCGGUAACAGGUGUAGCAAUACAUGCUGACGAGAGGCGGACGGGUGAGUAAUGCUUGGGAAUCUGCCUAUUAGUGGGGGACAACCCGGGGAAACUCGGGCUAAUACCGCAUACGCUCUACGGAGGAAAGCCGGGGACCGCAAGGCCUGGCGCUAAUAGAUAAGCCCAAGUCGGAUUAGCUAGUUGGUAGGGUAACGGCCACCAAGGCGACAAUCCGUAGCUGGUCUGAGAGGACGACCAGCCACACCGGAACUGAGACACGGUCCGGACUCCUACGGGAGGGCAGCAGUGGGGAAGUCUUGCGCAAUGGGCGAAAGCCUGACGCAGCGACGCCGCGUGAGGGAUGACGGCCU
RNAcentral lists this ribosomal RNA (390 nucleotides) under uncultured bacterium. RNAcentral's name for it is "bacterial SSU rRNA". It matches the Rfam family "Bacterial small subunit ribosomal RNA", at positions 29 to 417 of the family's 1533-position model. The record is from RNAcentral.